AAGGGAGAGGUGGCGGCGGCCGCGGCAGCUGCAGCGGGCAAAAGUGAGAAGCUGAAAGUCACUGCAUCCAAGAACUCAGAAGUGCCAAUUGUCUGUCUGCUGACCUCACGUGGAUGAAGACAAGAGGAUCGAACCAUGUGCUUGUAAAUAUUAUAUAAGCAUGCAAAAUGAAGGCUUGUGAGUGGCAAACUAAUUGGCUGGACAUCCUUAGUGAGAUGCAUUCUAAGUGACAAAAUCGCAUCCUUAACUGCCUUGGAAAUCUAAUGCUGGGAGUUUUGAUUGCACCUCAAGGUGCCAUUCUAGGCUGCGGCUUUUGAAAACUGUUCUGGAAUGGAGGUGGAGGAGGGGAGUUGUUAAACCUCUGCCCCAAACCCCAUCCCCUCACCCUGCAAGGCACUGGCCCCCUGCUUCUGCUAAUGACAGAUAAAUAAAGUUUCUACUUUCUACUUGGCUGCUACAGAGUGGUUCCAUCAAGAACCUGGAAAUAAAUCUGAAUUUUUAAAAUCAUCAGAGUCUGAGCAACUGCCAGGAGUAAACAUACUUCAGCUGCAUGAAUCUGAACUGCUGCCGAGGGAAAGCUGACUG
Molecule: long non-coding RNA, 585 nt
Organism: Molossus molossus (Pallas's mastiff bat)
Lineage: Eukaryota; Metazoa; Chordata; Mammalia; Chiroptera; Molossidae
Exons: 5
Source: RefSeq, a predicted model, not a curated record